RNAcentral lists this ribosomal RNA (463 nucleotides) under uncultured bacterium. RNAcentral describes it as "bacterial SSU rRNA". It matches the Rfam family "Bacterial small subunit ribosomal RNA", at positions 30 to 492 of the family's 1533-position model. The record is from RNAcentral.
AUUGAACGCUGGCGGUAUGCUUAACACAUGCAAGUCGAACGGUAACAGGCCUUCGGGCGCUGACGAGUGGCGGACGGUGAGUAACGCGUAGGAAUCUGCCUCAUAGUGGGGACAACGUGGGGAAACUCACGCUAAUACCGCAUACGCCCUACGGGGAAAGCGGGGGAGUCUUCGGACCUCGCGCUAUGAGAUGAGCCCGCGUUAGAUUAGCUAGUUGGUAGGGUAAAGGCCUACCAAGGCGACGAUCUAUAGCUGGUCUGAGAGGACGAUCAGCCACACUGGGACUGAGACACGGCCCAGACUCCUACGGGAGGCAGCAGUGGGGAAUAUUGGACAAUGGGCGCAAGCCUGAUCCAGCAAUACCGCGUGUGUGAAGAAGGCCUUAGGGUUGUAAAGCACUUUCAAUUGGGAGGAAAACCUGCCGUCAAUACCCGGUAGCUUGACAUUACCUUUAGAAGAAGCA